UACGAAGGGGGCUAGCGUUGCUCGGAAUCACUGGGCGUAAAGCGCACGUAGGCGGAUUGUUAAGUCAGGGGUGAAAUCCUGGAGCUCAACUCCAGAACUGCCUUUGAUACUGGCGAUCUUGAGUCCGGGAGAGGUGAGUGGAACUGCGAGUGUAGAGGUGAAAUUCGUGAUAUUCGCAAGAACACCAGUGGCGAAGGCGGCUCACUGGCCCGGUACUGACGCUGAGGUGCGAAAGCGUGGGGAGCAAACAGG
Molecule: ribosomal RNA, 252 nt
Filed under: uncultured bacterium
Lineage: Bacteria
Description: partial 16S ribosomal RNA
Rfam family: Bacterial small subunit ribosomal RNA
Source: RNAcentral